AUGUUUCAGUGUUUUGCAGGUGUUAUAUUUAUCGGUCUUCUUUUGUUGAAGCAAAGAAAAAAUCCGUUCAACAGUGACGUCAUUGCAAAACACACUUUUGAAGAAAAGGACAGUCAGCUACUGGACGGAGCAGAGGAUCAAACCCAGACUCUGAAUGAGGAGCCUUUAUUAUCAUCUGAUAGCUGCCUUUCUUAUGCUAGUUACCCUAAUGAUAGCCUGAUCACCCAGAAUGCAUCUGUUCCCAUGCCAAUGCCUGAAAACAGAGGAGUCAGCACCAGUUCUUUUGUUGAGGAAGACUGGCCAGGAGAUCCGCAGACUAACUCUGCUGCUCUGCGCGGCAUCCUCAAGCACUUGUCCACUUCGAGCUCCACAGACUCCCUGUUCUCUCGCCUGGACCUGCAGAGUCCAGUUAACCUCAAUUCUCCCACUGAGACCUGUAUAGACAGGAAGCAGGUGAGGUUCAGCUCCGUGGUUGGUGCAAACGAAGUGGAGUGGCAAGAUAGGAAGGAGCUGGAAGAGCACAGUUUGCUGGACAUCGACUCCAUCACUCCCUCUGGGACAGAAAACAAUAGUGACCUUGAGAAUAUUGGCACUACCACUGUGGGCACACAAAGGCCUUCGAUCAAUCAGAGUGAAGUGGAUUCACAGGAAGGUGAACUCAAUUGCAAAAAUGAGGCAAACCUCCAAGAGCAAGAAGCUGGUCAACAGGUCCUUGGUGAUGUCUCUGAGCACUGUCAUUCAGAGUUCCUAAGCCCUGCAGUGUCCAGACUGGUUUCUGCUGAGCAGAACUCGGGUAAGCCUGUUCACCUGGAGACAGAGCCUGAAGAUGACCGUCACUCUCGGGCUAAGGCCACCGACUGGCCAAUUGGAUUCAACAUUCAGCCCAAAAAUAUGCCGGAACGAAGAACUGACAUUUCUGCUGAGGACCCCUCAGAUACCAAGCUGUCUACUUGCAGCUCAAGGGGUUCAUCUCAUGCUGUUUCACCAAAGCCUAGACAAAGACUGCUUGGAAUUUUUAGAAGAGAGAAAGAGAAAACUGAAGAAGUGCAGAAUCCACAAAAAGAAGAGGAGACGAUACCUCAGCAGAAAGAACAAGGCAGAACCCAGAAUAUCUCUCAUUGUGCUGUAGAGACUACUGUAGACAAACAAGAAGCUAAACCCUCUGAGAUGGCAGAGGUCAGAACACUACAACAUGAAGCUCUGCAGAACACUCCGUCUAAAGAAACAAUGGCAUCAGUAAGUGCAGACAAUCAACAGGAGGCAAGAGAAGGCAGAGUUGUUCAGCUUCCAGAGAGACUAUACAAUCUGAAAGCUUUCUGGGAGAGAGAAAACAGUGGUCCCAAAAUAAUGUUUACCAGAGAAGAGACAAGGCGCAAAGACGUCCCCAAGGAAGGAUUAGAGACUUCACAUGGUCAUCUGUCUAACUCUGAUGUGGGGAGUAUAGGCAACAAUCUCUCACCUCAAAUGGAAAUGAUAGGUGAGGAUACUGCUGGCUUGUCCCAAGAAAAGAUUUUGUCACCACAGACCGACUGUAGCUUCUCAGUAGAUGUAUCUAAAGAAGAUGGCACAUACAGAGCUAAUCCAGUCCUCAUCUAUGAAGACACAGAUGUCUUUUUAACAGGUUCAAUAAUAGAGUCACAGAUUCCGGAGCCACAGAAAAAUGCCAUCACUCCUGUACCUUUUUAUGUAGCCUUCAACACCCAAAAGCAACAGAGCGAUAUUCCAGUUCCACUUCCCAGGAAAUCUAGUUCCAGUCCUCAAGAAGACAGGCCAGCCAAGAUCAGUGAAGUUAAGCAUUACUUGGAGAAAGAGUAUACAGAACCCAGGGUAAUCGCUACAAGAGUCAAGGAAGCCUCACUCAGUUCCCCACUGUCUUAUCUGACAACAUCCUUAGAUACUAGAGAGAAGUAUGAGGGAGAGUCCCAAACGUGUCCAUACAAAACCAAGUCCAAUGUUGUCUUUAAAUCAUUAAAAGUGAAAGACAAUGGUUUUGCCACUCAGAGUCCAGACAGCUCAGAGCUGAGGAGUUCUGAUAGUACUGGGGAUGUAGAGUCAACAUGUCCCCAAACUCCAAGAUCAAAAGACCAUGAGGACGAGGUAAGAGGUCCAUCCAAGACCUGCCUUCCAAGGGUCCUACCUAGAGAAUCCUCCAGUCCAAAGAGAUCCAAGCUGGAAGGCUCUCCCUUGAAAACUUUUCCAAUAGACAUCAACCCCCAAACUAAGGUUGUUGAAGAACAACAUAGGAAGCCAACACCAAUUCCAAGACAGAAGAAGAGUCCCUCACAUGAAGCAAUGCAGACAGUGUUGACAGACACUAACCCAAGCACAGACAUCACCUCUCGUCCUCUCCCUUUACGUCCAGAGGACAUAGGGCCGCAGUGUUGUAAUGUCAAUACACAACAAAGUAGUCCAAGCUCUUCUACUUCACCACAAUCCAAAAAAGCUUCAGAGAAGAAGUUGGGGACCUUUACAUGCCUUGCCAGAUCUUUCAUCCCUCAGGAUUAUCAGCACUACCUGGGGCCACAGGAGCAGGCCCAUGUCCCUCUGUUUCACACAGAUACCUCUGUUGAAGAGAAGGAUGUGGGACACAUACCACAGAAUGUCCUCAGAGGUUUUGUGGGAAACCAGAGCAACAGUCCCACUGAGGGGAAUCCUCCCAGAAUCAGUUCUUGGAUUGUACAAAAUAAAGAUGGAAACUCGAGCCAAAACACAACGACCAGGGCCUGGUCUCUGUCUCGGCCAAGUUCAGGCAGUUAUGAUGACACUUCUAGUCCCAUCAUUGCAGCCUUUAAACGAUUAUCUUCAAGGAGCAUGUCUUCAUCUAAAAGUCUGGAAAACCUCUCCUCACAAACAAGUGACAGACGUCGUUCUUCUUCACAGUAG
Molecule: long non-coding RNA, 2883 nt
Filed under: Cottoperca gobio
Lineage: Eukaryota; Metazoa; Chordata; Actinopteri; Perciformes; Bovichtidae
Description: lncRNA (ENSCGOG00000011826.1)
Source: RNAcentral